RNAcentral lists this ribosomal RNA (253 nucleotides) under uncultured bacterium. Its description in RNAcentral is "partial 16S ribosomal RNA". It matches the Rfam family "Bacterial small subunit ribosomal RNA", at positions 524 to 776 of the family's 1533-position model. The record is from RNAcentral.
UACGUAGGGAGCAAGCGUUGUCCGGAAUCAUUGGGCGUAAAGCGCGCGUAGGCGGCCCUGUAAGUCCGUUGUGAAAGUCAAAGGCUCAACCUUGGAAAGCCGGUGGAUACUGUCGAGCUCGAGUCCGGAAGAGGCGAGUGGAAUUCCUGGUGUAGCGGUGAAAUGCGCAGAUAUCAGGAGGAACACCAAUGGCGAAGGCAGCUCGCUGGGACGGUACUGACGCUGAGACGCGAAAGCGUGGGGAGCAAACAGG